RNAcentral lists this long non-coding RNA (13086 nucleotides) under Malus domestica (apple). RNAcentral's name for it is "long non-coding RNA (MDOM_LNC010057)". The record is from RNAcentral. Lineage: Eukaryota; Viridiplantae; Streptophyta; Magnoliopsida; Rosales; Rosaceae.
GAGGCUCUAAGAACAAGCAAAGAUCGAACCUUUACUAAAUAGGAUGGCAGAGAACAACAUGAACAGAAAAGUACUGGCGUACCUUGAAGAAAAACGUUGAGACUUGAAAACAAAGGGCGGCGAUCUCAGGUUCGGGGAACCAAACUAACAGCGCCGGUGAGGUUUUCUGAUAUUUAUAAGAGGGUGGGGGCGAGCGGCGUCACGAACUUUCUUGGAGGAUCAUAGCAUGAGUCAGUCAGAGAGAGCCCUGAACUCUUCUUGCUACCGGGUAGAUCGGUCUGUGCGUUAGACUAGUCAUGCACAUGUUUGACUUUGGAACCAUAGACUUGGUCCCACUCCGUCCCUUGUUUCUUUCGAUAAUCUCUGUCUUUUUCUUUUAUAUUUCAGUGUUACAGAACAAUCUCGAAUAAUGGAGAGUGGAGAAUUCAUUACAGCUCAAUCUUAAAUGGUAAACAUUACAUGUAGCCCCUCAGGUUUAAGCUUUAUUGCAUCUUAUACAACAUCUUUAAAACAUUUCACUUUCAACCUCAAGUACUAUUUAUUUCAAUUUCAAUACAACCGUUUUAGUUUCCAUCCAUGGAGAUCUGUUAAAUGCUGACGUGGCUGCCACACAUAAUACACGUGGCUGCCAAUAAUUUUGCCACGUGGCAAAUUAAAAAAAAAAAAAUUUUAAAACCUGAAAUUGGGAGAGAAAAAAAAAGGUCGAACCCAGAAGAAGAAGAAAGAGAAAGAGAAGAGAAGAAGAAGAAGAAGAAGAAGAAGAAGAAGAGAGAAAAAAAAAAAAAAAAAAAAAGGGACCGAACCCAGAAGAAGGAGGAAGAAGAAGAAAAGAAGAAAGAGGAGGAGGGAGAGAAAGAAGAAAGAAGAAGAAAAGAAAAAAAAAAAAAAAAAGGUCCGAACCCAGAAGAAGAAGAAGAAGAGAGAGAAGAAGAAAGAGAAAGAGAAAAAAAAAAGUGGCAAAUAUGUUUUUUUUUUUUAAAAUUAAAAAAUUAUUUUAUUUGCCACGUGGCAGACAUUUGGCAGCCACGUAUCAUAUAUGUGGCAGCCACGUCAGCAUUUAACAGAUCCAUGGAUGGAAAAUCUAACGGGUUGUAUGAAAUUGAAAUAAAAUAGUACUUGAGUAGUUGAAAGUGAAAUGUUUUAAAGAUGUUGUUGUAUGAGAUUGCAAUAGAGCUCAAACCUGAGGGGCUACUAUGUAAUUUACCCUAAAAUAAUGUACUUGAAAGUUCAUACUAUACAACUUUGCAUGCUCGGAUUUGAUCGAUUUUAAAAAUAUCAUCGAACUAAUUAUAAUAAAUUGAUUGGAUUUUAGUUUGUUUGAACUUAAAUUGUUGUCAAAACCAAAUUAUUGUUGAAUGAUUUGGUUAUGUACGCAAUCGUUUUUUCUUUAAGAACCAUUUCCAGUAUAAGACGAUUUUGAACUCAAAACUGACUUGAACUGAAGAAAGCACACGUAACUAAUAAAGUAUAAAAUACGCGAUUCAAUACCAACGUAACAAUUGUUACUUAUACAGAUCGUAAACAAGUCCAUAUAACAUGAUAGAUCUAUUGAAAGCAACAAGCUAUGGUUGAAACAAAUCCAUCGCAACAAAAGCCCUAAACAUAAGAUCAAGAACACCACUUGCUUUCAUGAGGAGCAACCCUCAUUGUUAAUAGCAGAAUAGACAUUUGCCAUUGAUGUAGAAAUCACCACCAAAAUCAAAAGUAGCAUCCCAGAUACCGCAAUACCAACCGAAUCGAAUGAUAACUUGAAAAAUAGAUUUGGAAGGAGAAUAGGAAAGGGAAGUGAGGGUUGCCCAACUCAUAAACUCAUUCAAACGAACAAUAAUAUUUCUUGCAUAUCCAAAAUUAUGUCAGUAGUACACAACCACAAUAUAUAAUACAUUUAAAUAUUACAUAUAAGUUUUUUCUCUAUCGAAGUACAUUGCUCUCUAUUCUCUAAGCCAAUAUUGAUGCCCAUAUUUCAGUCUGCGCACAGUUUCACACACAUGCAUACGUACAAUUCUUUCACACAUUUAGUUUAUUUAGAGAUGUAAAUUGUAAUAGAUCUUGGGUAUUUUACAGGUUGGAGCUUGACAUUCCAACCCUUGGAAAAUUUUGAAAAAUCCAAUAUUUUUAUGAGGUACAUUUCUUUGCUUGGUUGAAACAUUGACCUGGUCAAACUAGCUCAAGAGUACCGGUGAUCGAAAAGCCACCGGUUGCUCAUAAGUUAUAUUGACUUGAGAAACACGCUCCUGUCUUGAAGAGCACGAAUGAAUAUUCCAUUUCAUCUUUUUUUAAUUAAUUAACUAAUCAUUUCUUUAAUCCCGUUCACAUUACCAUGAUAAUAACAUUAAAAUUUGACAUGUCUUCUGACUGUGAGCUAAUCGAGUGGAAAAUAGAGGUUGAUGAUAACAGAAAAGGCAAUGCUUUCCUUAUUCUUUUAAAACACAGAGUUUGCUUCUUAAUCCCUCUAAUCAUGGUAAAGGUCAAAACAUAAUCAAGAGUUUUAACGAAACAUUCUCGAUACUAUUCACUUUUAAUAAAAAAAAUCAUAUUUUUAUCUUUAUUUAAUAUUAUUCACUACACAUUUAUUUGUCAUUUUUCAUUAAAACUAAAGUUCUUUUUUGUACUUUUCGUUAGUUUUCCUAGCAUCUCACACAUUGCUUUGGCCUCAAGAAUAUGAAAAGAUUUUUCAGUGUGCUCGAAACAUUUGGUGGUACACUACGUGUCAUUAUACAAAUGAUGAGACAUUUGUGUUAAAAAUUAACAACUUAAAAAAUAAAACUUCCUCCACUAAUAUAAUAAUGUAUCACUCGUGGUUCGGACAAAUUUCUCUAAAAAUAUGAGAGGUUAUCAAAAUUCGGUUCAAAUAAAUAGGAAAAAUGGUCAACAAAAAGAUAGAAUAAAUGACUAAAUUAAGAAAAAUGCUGACAACUUUUGCACCAACAUUUUUAUUUGGACAUUUUCACUUCUUCAAAUGAUACGUGUUUAACAAAAAAAAAAAAAAAAAAAAAACCUUUAAUGCCUUUUGAAAUUUUAUUUUUUAUUCUUCAUCAUUAAUUCCUCGCUUUCUUUCUUUUUUUGGUAAUAAAAUAACACGUGUCAUUUAAAGAAGCGUAAAUAUCCAAAUGCAAAAAUUAAUGCAAAUGUUGCUAGCACUCCUAAAAUAUGUUGUCUGCUAAUUAAUAAUUCGUUAGUAAAUAAUCAAACAAAUACAUAGCAUGGUCGACAGAAAACCUGGGAAAUUAUGUGAAUGUCUUGAUGUGACAUCACAUUAGGAACUUAAUAUUAGUCAAAGGCCAAUUUGUAUUAGGUUUUGUCUUUGAGCCAAGUAAAAGUUCAACAAUGUCAAUGGAGCCACCGAGCACAUGGAAAACGGCUCCAAAUACUAUGAGGAACUGUCAAACUCGGUUGUUCUAACUUAUAAAUUUCUAAUUCAAAGCACUCAGACACACAUCCCACAAGUCCAUGUAAACACGUACGGAACUUGGAUACGCGCACGGGUCGAAAGAUGACCAAAGUAGGCAUUCAUCAGGCAAAGUUUUACCUUUACUCACAUGAUGCUACGAACAACGUGAUCAACUUAUCUCACAUCAAUGAGACGUGAUAGAUAAAACUCAUUAAACCUAUAUCCAACUCAGUUGCUCUAAAUGAGGAGUCAAAGAGAUGCCCAAAACAGAUAGAGAAAAAAUAAUCAUCUAUUUGUCAAUACAAAACUUGUUAAGCAUAGAUCCAACUCAGUUGCUUUAAAUGAGGAGUCAAAGAGAUGCCCAAAACAGUCUGAGCCCGUACUCGAGCUUGGGCUGAAUUUGACCCAACUCCGUUGAGCAGCUUUUGUGCAUCAACAAAUUUAAUUAUCAUCUUUAUUAAUAAUAAAAAAUGAUCGAACUAGAGACUUAUUUCAAUAUUGUGAAGAAAAAUAUCUCUAAAUUAAAUCUAGUUUAACAAACUAUGUGAUUGCAUAAGUCCUCCUCUCUCCAUUGCGGGUGGAGGACUUCAAUUUUCAAACUCCAAUUCAUGAUCAUUGUGUGGAUGCAAAUUUCUGUCAUCUCUUCCUUUGACGAAAAUGUACCUACAAAAUAAUAACACAUUCGAUUAAGGCCAAAAGCCUCACGCGCCCAUGAUGAAUUGGGGGGCUUUGGCCGAAGAAUCUCCGAUGCCAAAAUUAGAAUUAUGAAAAGAAUGUGUUUAGGAGUUUGUGAAUAGCAAAUAGCUUAGCAUUUUAGUGGGAUAAGAUGAGUAUUUAUAGGAUAGUGGCCGGGCAUUUGGGUGGAGAGUGGUUGGCCAUAUAUGGUGUAAUUGGGUGAAUAAUUGCAAGAUAUUAUGUGAAAUAAUAUCUUGCAAUUAAGAUGACAAUUAUUCCUAAAUUAAAUAGGAAGUUUUCGGAGUUACCUUUUGAAUAAGGAUUUGAUGAGAAGUGAUGAGAGAGAUUUAAAUAAAUACCAUAUUGACCACAUUUGACUCUUACUUGAUUGAGUCAUUAUUGUCUGUUGCAUGCACAUGGGAAUUCCGAUGUGUCUCGAGGGUAAUCUUGUCCUUCUUGUCCAAAAAUCCACAUGUCAUCUCCAUGAUUUUUGGGAUUAUUUUUGGCUCCACACAAUGUUUUUUAGGUUAUUUAGCCAAAGGUCAAUAGAAUCUUUACAAAUUAGGCAUAUAUCAAUGUCAAAUUUUUUUUUUGGACAUAAUUAAUGAAAUAUUUACAGUAAUUAUAUAUAGGUCAAUGAAGCAUACCACAUGAGUUUAGAUUAGUUAGAAAAUAACUAUUCUACCCUUAUCACUUCAAUUUAUUGCUUUCCUUCUCUCCUUCCCUCUCCCUUGUCAUUAUCUACUUCUUUCUCUUAUCUCUUUCUCUCUCUCAUCCUUCUCUCAUCCCUUCUCUCCCAUUUUUCUCUCUAAUGAAGAAGAGGUCAUUGGUGAUGGUGAGUAGCACCAAAUCCCAAUGGCUUAGUCGAUCAGUGACUACAACAUCACAAUUGACAUGAUUCCUUCUAGAACCAUCACUGAUCUCCACGAGAUCAUGAAGCCAAUGGUGCCGGCAGUGUUCAUGAAGGAGUGGUCCCACAUCAACUGUAGAAGAGAGUUUCUAGAAGAAAGCUUGUUUGGGUUAGAGUUGCAGAAGUUGAACAUGAGUAUCGAUGAGGUUUGGAAGGCGCUCGAGGAUGAAAUUGGGCAGUGGAUCAAAUCUGUGAAAUGUGUGCUUUGGAUUUUAGGCUCUUUUUGCUAUUUGAAUUUGCGCUGGAAUGGUGGAAGAUAAUGCUUGCAUAUCUUGAAAACUUGAAGACAAUCCAUAAGAAAAAGAAGUACAAAAAUAGACAUUGCAUUGCAAAGUCUGAAUCUAAAUGUAAAAGCAAAACCAGAAACAGACACCGAAUUACAUAGUCUGAAUCCAAAUGUAAAAGCAGAAUUAGAAACGGAGUUUGCAAUGUAGAGUCUAUAUUCAAAUGUAGAAGAUAAACCAGAAACGGACGCAAUGCAACGCCUGAAUGCAGAGUCGUGCGAAGUGUGAAUUGUAUGAUAUUUGUGAAUGAUGUGUGUGGUUGAUCUGAUUCAAAAUAAAAGAAUUUGUACGCUGACAGUUGUAGUAGGGUGAAUUAUUAUGUUAAGGGUAAAUUACAUUUUACCCCCUCGGGGUUUGGGUUCAAUUGCAACCGCAUACAACAUCUUUAAAACAUUUCAAUUUCAUACACAAACUUUUAUUUUGUUGCAAUUUCAUACAUCCGUUAAUUAAACUGUUAAUUUGACCGUUAAAUGGUGGCAAAUGCAUGACCCACAUAUUUAAUGACAUGGCAUAAAAAUUAAUUGAUUAUCAAAAAGCAAUUUAAACAAAAAAUUAAAUUAAACAAAAAAAAGGGGGGGGCCACCCCUCUUCUCCCACCCGAGACCUCCAUCUCCAUCUUCUUCCUUCUCCACCUGAGACCUGCAUCACCAUCUCCUUCUUUCUCCACCACCACCACCACCCGUCACAUACAACCACCAUGUCAAUCCUCACCCUCCCAAUCCCUAAACCCCAUUCCUAAUUUUUUUCAAAUUUGUUCCGAGUCUUCUUAUAUUUUCUCUCAGUUUUCGCUCUUAAUCCGAAAAUAAAGCCUAGAAAAUUUCCUAGAUCCGAAGAUGAGUUUGUGUCUGAAUUAGCUUCCCUUUUCGACUGGGUCAUGAGGAAGGGUCGAGAUCGAGAGCUCUCUGUGCUCAUGCCUUUAAUCUUAGGUGCAGCCACUCCGCCGCAACACCCGACUUGAAACCCAGAUAGAGAAAACCCGAUAAGACGAACCCAGCGGGAAGGAAUCAUCCUCACCAACGCGUGUCAGUGAACGAAGGAUAUUCGGACCUGGACUCGCUGCUGUGGGGGCUGGGUGGCAAGGACGGUCAGCCGCCGGUGACGAAGGCGUCAAUCGACGCCAUGCCGUGUGUCAAGAUUUGGGAAUCAGAAAUUUGAUGAUUUGGUUGUGUAAAUUGUUUUGUUGAUGAUCUGGAACUAUUAAGAAUUGGGAGAGGGAAAUUUAAAGGGGGAGGGAUUGACAUGGUUGUCUGGGAUAGGUGGUCGGGGUGGAGAAAGAAGAAGAUGGAGAUGGAGGUCUUGGGGAGAAGAAGGGUGGGCCCCUUUUUUGUUUAAUUUAAUUUUUUUUUAAAUUGCUUUUUGAUAAUUAAUUCUUUUUUAUAUGUCACGUCCUCAAAUAUGUGGGUCAUGCAUUUGUCACGUCACCAUAUAACGGUUAAAUUAACGGUUUAACUAACGGAUGCAUAAAAUUGCAACAAAAUAAAAGUUUGUCUAUGAGAUUGAAAUAUUUUAAAGAUGUUGUAUGAGGUUAUAAUUGCACCCAAACCCGAAGGAGUAAAAUGUAAUUUACUCUUAUGUUAAUAAUGCUUGAAUUGACUGGUCACUUUUACUGAAAAUGAGUGUCGUCUUAUGUUUUAUCUAUUUGGACAACUUCGGUACCACUUAGGCCAUCUCCAACCGAUGGCUGGCCAGAGGGCUCGUUUUAGCCCUUUCGCCCCCCAAGAUCCUCCAAGAUAUUAAUAUUUUAAUGAACAGUACAUGGUCAUAUUUGCUUCCAUCUCCAACCGAGGGCCAGAGGCCUCGUCUUAGCCCUGUCACAAAAAACUGUCUCCAACGGAAGGCCAAAGGGCCAAACAUAAUUUAUUAUUUAAAAACUACAACUUAAAUUCAAAUCCAACAGCUAAGUAAUGUCAGCUAGCCGUUGGUAGCUGACGUCAGCUAGCCGUUGGAUUUGAAUAUUUUUUUGCUAUAAAUAGGGUGGAUAUUGGGAUAUAAUUCUCACAACUUUGAAUUCAAUCUAUUUCCAUUUAAUCUCUUUCAAUUCAAUCUAUUGAAGAAGCAUGGAGUAGGCAUUUAUGUUUUAUGUUUUUAAAUGUUUUUAAAAAUGUUGUUAAAGUUUCCUGUUGUAUAAUUUUUAUGUUGGUUAAUGUUAUUUAAUGUUGUUUCAUAUUGUUUCAUGUUACUUAAUUUAAUUUAAUGUUGUAUAAUGGCUUAGGAAGUUAUAGGAAAAAAAAUAGAAUUUAAAAAAAAAUAUGAAACAAAUUUUGUGAAAUAGAAGUUAUAGGAAAAAAAUGGAAUUUCAAAAAAAUAUGAAACAAAUUUUAUAAAAUAGAAGUUAUACGAAAAAAAAUAUGAACCAAAUUUUGUAAAAUAUAAGUUAUAGAAAAAAAGUUAUAGGAAGUUAUAGGAAAAAAAUAUGAAACAAAUUUUGUGAAAUAGAAGUUAUAGGAAAAAAAUGGAAUUUCAAAAAAAUAUGAAACAAAUUUUAUAAAAUAGAAGUUAUACGAAAAAAAAUAUGAACCAAAUUUUGUAAAAUAUAAGUUAUAGAAAAAAAGUUAUAGGAAGUUAUAGAAAAAAAAAGUUUAAAUUCAUAAAAACAAAAAAAAAAAUUGAAUACAACGGCUAGUGACUGGCUAGCUGUUGGAAUUCAAAUUAGAAUUAGUGACGGUUUUAACCCACACUGUUCAAACUGCUAUUAUAUUAACAUUGCUAUUAGUGUCGGUUAUAACCGACACUAAUAAUAUAGUAUAUAUUAUUUUUGUCGGCUAUAACCGACAGAAAUAACAAAACAUUAAAAAAAAAAUGACCAGCCCCGGGCUGGCUGGCUAGCUGCAUGCAGCCAUGCAGCUAGCCAGCCCUCCAGCCCUUUCCGAUUCCGUGGGGUCCUCUCAGAUUCCAGAGCCCUUUGGCCUAACUCUCGAUUGGAAACGGUUUUCGGAUUAUUUUUGGCCCUAUAAUCCUCUGGACCAUUCGGUUGGAGAUGACCUUGGUAUAAAAGAAAACAAUCACUCAUUUGUGAUGUGAAGUGAUUUGCAAGACCAUGGGACCGCAUGCACCCAACAGCAUUCUAGUUUCUUCUCGGUGUUCUCACUCUCGUGUCGCUCUCGUUCUCUCGUGUAAACGUGUUCAUGCACGCACACAAGGACAUAAGAGUACGAGUAUGCGACAGGGACCUCCAUGACAAACCACGAUCGUCGACUAAACACCCUUUUGCCACCGUUAUUUCGUUGCCUUUUGUUCUCAAAGAUCAAAUCAAAACCACAAUGGCACGUACAAUGAACCCCAUUCAAAGUCGAAGCACUGUCUUUGUGGUGGACGAAAGUUCAUAAAUAGUUGACCAUGUUCUAAAUAUUCCUAGAUAUUUAACACGGAUAAUGUAAGCCUAUACUCGUAUUGGAAAAUAUAAAAUGCACUUAUGCUUAAAUUGAUUUAUUAUAUAAUAUAUAAAUACCUCUUCCAUGCAUAUGGCAUUUUAUAAUUUCUAUGACAUCAAUAUGAUAAGUUUGAUUACAUUGCAUUUGGUUUGAGCUACGCGAUGAAAAGUUUGGAUGAACGGGAAACCGGUAAACAAUCCCUCCCGGGCAUCAAGAAAGGUAAAAGUUGAGUUCAUUUGACGAUCAGAUUCAACUGAGAUAUAUACAAAAAGAAAAGUACAAUGUUCAACAUUACAAUAGUUCAUCAUCAAUCAAAUUCUAAUACAAAGUUAUGCAGGGCUAGCUCUUUACAUCAAUUAUUUUCUCAUUGACCACGCACGACCUAUAUACACGACCUAUAUACAUCAAUCAAAUUCUAAACAAAAAGCAUUAAGAAGUUACACAGAAGGCACCUGAUCUUACUACGCACGACCUAUAUACAGGGGAAGAAGUUGGACCCCAGGCAAGUACAGGCAAGACUAGAAGUUACCGAUAGCAACCAGUAUAAUGUCACCAAGACAGCAUGGUGAUUGCAAAACACAGCACUAUCAAUACAUCUGUAUAGAACUACAGAAGCCUACUUCUGCAAGUCAAUUCUGUUCUAACAAGCAUGCAUUGCAAGACCUAGACGGUACCCAACGCGAGGAAUUGUAGAUAAUCCUGCCCUUCCAUCCUUGUAGCAUCCAGUUUCCAUCUUCAUCAACCACGAAAUCACGGUGGUACCCCAGCUUCACGUUCGCCCUUAAUUUGUUCAUGAGUUCACGGUUCAAUGGCAACUGUUUGAACCCGGCCCUCAUGUUCCGAACCUGCCACUGCUUAUAUGUCUCAGGCCUCACAACUCUCUCAGAGCCCUCGCAAGCUAUUGUGUUCACAACCUCUCGUCCAAGGAAUUCUUCCUCAAACAUCAAUCUCAUCGGAUCUUCACGAGAUAAAUUGGUAUCAAACAUAUCAAACAAUGCAGAGAAGUGGGAUAGAGCCUCCCUGAAGGGUGUGACGUAGAAUGGGGCAUUGUAAGAUCCAUUAAUGACACUAUGGAUAAAGAUAUCAGGAUUCAUGCUCCUAAUGAAAUUUAGAACAGCAUCCCUUGGGCUGUUUACCACAACUGUCUCGUCAAGUAGGUUUUUAAACCGGAACAGACAAUUCACAGCAAGCACUUCAUCUCUCUUGACAUUGAGUUCCUCAUAUUGGAUAGCUUCCCAUUUCUUUGCGAUGCCAUUGUACUCGAAAGGAACAUUAUACCACUCACAAUACUUUGCCAAACGGUGGCCUGUCUCUUGGACUCGAAAGGAAUAUUACAAAGAUGAAGUAUUGAGGUAGUUCAGCUACAAAGCCGACUAGUAUAUUAGAGUGCAACAUGGUAUAUUAGAGUACAACAUGGAUAACCAGAAUACUCAAAUACGAAAUGAAAUAGUACCUCUGCCUAGUUUGUUGAUCAUCCUUUCUAUCACAAUUCUCAAAGAAGUUCAAACAAGCAUAUUCUACAAGAUUCCUACGCUGGCACCCAACAAGAAGAAGCAUACACAAUUCGGCCCUUCCAUCCUUGAAGCAUCCAAUCACUAUCUUGAUCAACUACAAAAUCUUUGUGGUACCAUGCCUUCACCUUAUCCUUAAGAAUCUUCACUAAAUCUUGGUCCAAUUGCAACGGCUGUAAACCAGCCCUCAUGCAUCGAACCUGCCACUGCUUAUAUGUCUCAGGCCUCUCAACCCGCUCUACGCCCUCACAUGCUAUUACAUUCAUAGCUUCCCUGCCAUAGAACUCACUCUCAAACCUCAACCUCUCUUCAUUGUCACGGGGUAUAUUAAUAUCAAAUGCAUCAUACAAGGAAGAGUAGUGGAAGAGAGCCUCCCGAAAUCGAGUGACAAAGAAAGGGGCAUUGUAGGAACCAUUGAUAAUAGAGUGGACAAAAAUAUCUGGUUUCAUCCUUCUGAUUAGUUGUAGAACACCAUCCCUUGGACAGUUCACUUCAACGGUCUCAUCAAGUAGGUUCUUGAACCGUAACAUACAGUUCACAGCAAGCACCUCAUUCCUUUCAGUCUUAAGGUCCUCCAGUUGGAUGGAUUCCCAAUCUUGUGAAGCUAUAGCAUUGUACUCAAAAGGUACAUUAAAACGCUCACAAUAUCUUGCCAAGCGACGUCCAGUCUCUUCAAUCCACUCUGCUGGACGAAACCCAGGUUGGGGAACCUCUAUCCCGGUAAUGCGUAGCUUCGGAGGUCCACCACGUCUCUUUGAAAGAUGCUGGAUGAGGAAUGGCCACUGGAAACCAUACAGGAUACCAAAAUCGACAAUAUGAAGGGUUGUUGCUUUCUCAGCCAUCUUCAAAAUCAUCUUGUUUUUGAAGAGCAUACACAUUCUCUUGAAAGGGCAAGCUGAAAGAUGAACGUGGUAAGAUUUCAACACAUCAACGGCUGAUGACCUUUUGGCAAGGGACGUAUAAAACUUUUGGGUUCCGGUGUCAGUACCACCCAUACGAGCCUCAAGACCAUUCGCAAAGAAGUGAGCCAACCUUUGAGAUCCAUCACCGUUAGGAGAAGCGUGCUGCCUAACCUGCUUUAACAGUUCACUAGUGGUCCUAAAAUCAUUGGUAGACACGGCUUGUGCACACAAAAUCAGGAGAUUCUGCAAAUCCACAGUUUCCUUCUUCUUUCCUUGUUUCUUACCACGAGCCUUCCCGCCAUUACCAUUAGAUCCUUGUGGCUGUCCAGGCUGCAAGGUCUUGCUUGCUUCAUUCUUAAAAGCAACAUUGCCACACUGAGAUUCAUUAUUUCCGCCAGUAGACAGCAACACCUUGUCAAACAUCUCAGACAAUUCACUCUCUUCAGUCUUUUCUAUAUAAACUGCAGACUGCUUGCUACUCCUCCCUUCUUCAAGAUCAACAUCUUCCCGCUCGCGAUUCUUUCUUCCCUUUGACCCAUUAGGUGAGUUCUUCCGCUCACUCUUUUCUUUCUUGACAGUAACCAUCGGCACACUUGCUUUCACUUCUGGAGACACUGUGUUGCUUUCCAGAUCAACAAGCAGCUGAGUGCUUUUCGGAAGGAAUUUACUAGCUUCCUCUAACCCUCUCUGGAAUUGCAAGAUAGAAUCACUAUCUGUAUAUAUAUUCUGAGCCACAAACUCUUCUACAGAGGAGCCCUGUAGCAUAUCAUCAAGGCGCUGCCCACCACCAACAUGCCGCCUAUCACCAACACUAGUCAUGCGAUUUUCCAGAGGAACAGACAACUGUGAACUCGAAUGUGAAUUGAACUGGAAAGGGUUGUCACUGGGAAGGGUAGUUUGUGGAAAAGAAGAUUUUGGAUCUCCCGAAUCGCCAACCCGUUGAGGAUCAUUGGAAUUGCUAGUACCAGGACUAGGACUAUUAUUACUACCACUACAAUCACUACAACUCCCAGAAUUAUUACCACCAGGACUCUCAACAUUCGGAUUGAUAUGAAGUGGUUGCUGAUUGGGUGAAAAGGGGUACCGUUGACCAAGAACAUCAUAGAACGAUUUCUCAGUCACACGAAGACCCAACGGAUCAAAGAACAUGCAAGGCUUUUUCUCUAUGUUCUCUUCCAAAAGAAUCUGGUUUACGUAUUUGAAAAUAGCUUCAGAAAAAUCACUGUCAUCGGAGGAACUGUCUGCUCCUCCGACGCUCACAGUCGUAGGCAGAGACAAUGAGCCUCCAUCAGGUGGACUCAAACUUUUAGAUGGAACAAAUGACUCUCCACUUGUGGUCAAACUGACUUUAGGAACAAUAUUACCCUGUUCGAAAUCGGGCGGAAGGGAAAAAUGAUUGUCCACAAAGUUAAGAUCCGGAGAGAACUGGUUAAAUUGGUAUUCAUUUGUGAGAUUUGAGAAUUGAGUUGAAUCAGGUGAGAAGGCUAGAUCAUCAAUACUGAAACCAUUCAAGUAAUCAGGACUUCCAUUGACAGUUGGAUGAUCCAUAACGAUCACAGAAAAAUACCUGGGUACAAUUCUAAACUCUAAAACCCUCUAAAACUUAAGAUUCUACCCACAAAAGUGAUGAAAUUUAAAGAUUUAAUCUCACAGGAACCCCAUCAAGGAACAAAGCAGGCUAGCAAGAACAAAUCAGAAGCAAAAAUGAAAAACCUCAAAAACCCAUCAGAGUUUUUGCAGAUUUAUUGCACAGGAAGCAAAGGUUUUGAAGCGGAAGGCUCUAAGAACAAGCAAAGAUCGAACCUUUACUGAAUCGGAUGACAGAAAACAACAUGAACAGAAAAGUACUGGCGUACCUUGAAGAAAAACGUUGAGACUCGAAAACAAAAGGCGGCGAUCUCAGGUUCGGGGAACCAAACUAACAGCACCGGUGAGGUUUUCUGAUAUUUAUAAGCGGGUGGGGCCGAGCGGCGUCACGUACUUUCUUGGAGGAGCAUAGCAAGUGUCAGUCAGAGAUAGUCCUGAACUCUUUUUCCAACCGU